CUAAUGACAUACCGGCAGAUGGUGCUGUCUCCCAGAGCUGCUAGGCUGGAGGCAUAGUGAAAUCAUUGUUUUUUAGCUGCUAUAAUGGAAGCAUAUCCCAGAGGAAGCCUGAAACUAUUCAUCAAGUGUUGACUACUUGUGAUGUGAGCCACUCACUGGCAGGUGCGUGAGCUGGAAUUAGAACUGGAGGCUGAGCAGAAAAGAGGAGCUGAUGCCAUGAAAGGAGUCUGAAAAUAUGAGCAGGGAGUCAAGAAGCUCACCUACCAGACCGAAGAGGUCAAGAAGACUGUCCAAAGGCUGCAGAACCUGGUGGACAAGCUGCAGUUGAAAGUGAAGGCCUACAAACGUCAGGCUGAGGAAGCUGGAGAACAGGCCAACACCAACCUGACUAAGUGCAGAAAGAUGUAGCAUGACCUGGAGGAGGCAGAGGAGAGGGCUGACGUCGCAGAGUCCCAGCUCAACAAGAUUAGAGCCAAGAGCAGGGAUGCCGGGAAUGUACGAUACGAUGCAAAAACAUAUGUAUUCAUAUAUUUCAGUACCACAUUGAUUGAUUGAUGUGUGUAUUAUUUGCCAAAAAAAAGGAAAAUAAAAACAACAUUUGUAUUACAUAUUUUUUAUGUUAUG
Long non-coding RNA from Oncorhynchus masou masou (cherry salmon), 624 nucleotides. RefSeq lists it as uncharacterized. Lineage: Eukaryota; Metazoa; Chordata; Actinopteri; Salmoniformes; Salmonidae. The record is from RefSeq and is a predicted model, not a curated record. The transcript is spliced from 3 exons.